Neltuma alba is the source of this 2665-nucleotide RNA transcript. It is a transcript of the gene named mediator of RNA polymerase II transcription subunit 19a-like, with no coding region annotated. Lineage: Eukaryota; Viridiplantae; Streptophyta; Magnoliopsida; Fabales; Fabaceae. The transcript has 8 exons. The record is from RefSeq and is a predicted model, not a curated record.
UGUAUUUUAUUCUCCUCUCUGACUUCGGACCCUAGCCACCGCCAGCAGCUGGUCGCCCCCAUUCUUCGCCGCGUCACUUUUAUUCUCCUCCUCUUCAAACUUCUUCUGAGUGCAGUUGAUAAUGGUACAUAUCAUGAAAGGAUGACACAUGGAUCCAGAAGGCAAGAAGUUUGGAGGAGGACCGAGGGAAUUGACAGGGGCUGCAGAUCUUGUAAAUCAUUUCAAAUUACUACCCCACUAUGACUUUUUCUGCAAAAGGUCACUUCCUGAGUCAAUUUUGGACUCACAUUAUCUUUACAAUGUCGUGGGAGACACAGAAAUUAGAAGAGGAGAUAAUUUGCAGUUGGAUCAGCUUAUUCAAAAUUCAUCCUUUUCUAGAGAUACAAGUGCUUGUAUACGGCCUUUUGACUUAGAUGUUCUAAAGGAAGCCUUUCAACUAAGGGAAACAGGUUCCAUUGAUUUGCCUCCGGCCGAGAAGGGGGUUCCCACCACUGUUGGAAAAUCAAAAAUUGAGUCUAAAGACAAGGAGAAGAAGCAUAAAAAGCACAAGGACAGGGACAAAGAGAAGGACAAGGAGCAUAAGAAGCACAAGCAUCGUCAUAAAGACCGAAGCAAAGAUAAAGACAAGGAAAAAAAGAAGGAUAAGAGUGAUCAUCAUGAUUCCAGUGCUGAUCAUGGCAAGAAGCACCAUGAAAAGAAAAGGAAGCAUGAUGGAGAUGAAGAUAUUAUUGAUGUACACAAACACAAAAAAAGUAAGCACAAGAGCUCGAAAAUCAGCGAAUUGGGGGCAAUAAAGGUAGCCGGCUAGAAUGGUCACAUGCUGUAGUUCACUUCUUUUCCUCAUACGGUUAUUGUCUUCUCUAAAGUCUGGAGGCGUCUUUGGCUAGAAAUUAUCAAAUUUCUUGAGCAAAGAAGGAAAGAAAAUUACAGCAGGAAGGAAAGAAAUAGAUUACAUAAAAGAUGGAAAUAGAGAAGAGUAAUAGGAAAUGAUCAUGAUCUGUCAUAACCAGUGGAGGGGCUGUUUCACCUUGUUAAAAGGAGAAGCACAUCACUAUGAGUCAUUAAUGGCAUGAUUUCUAACAUGGGUAGCUGUUAUGGCUUCUUGUUCAUCAACAGUUUUGGGCAGGGAUGAGGACAGAGCCAGGCUGGUUUUUCAGUUCUCGUCCCUGAUCCCAUUCUUUCUUCUUACGUGUUUGGCAAGUAAAAAGCAUAUUGUAACGGGCCUUUUCUUAAUAUGUAUACAUUGCUGGAUCCAGUAAUAUCAGUUUAUUGGGAUUACAAUUUGGUUCCAGUAGGACAGUCGUUAUAACAACAAAUUAGUUGCUCUAGGAAUAUUGUGAUAUUAGUGUUUCAAAUUAACGCGCCUGUUUUUAAUAUUGCAUUGCCAUGGUGAUAUAAGAUACUUGGAGACAUAUUCUUUAGAGGUUUUGAAGCAGUAUGGUUAAGAAAAGCGAUGGCUGAAUUGCAAGAGGAGUUCUGUAUGGUAUUUGACGAGAGUAUGCGUAUUAAUUGCAAAUUAUUAACAAGUUAAAAUAAGAUCUGAGGGGCUUGCUACUAAGGGAGGCCUUUGUCCCUGAGAGUUAGCAUAUCAAUGUUUCUGUGGCUAUGAACUUGAAAAUUCUUGGCUUUAGCUCUUUUUCCUUCUCAUACAAGUUACAGUGUUCUGGGGAAAAUGCUUUGCUUCGUUUCUGGGGCUAUGAGCUUUAAAAACAUGCUUUUACCUUGUCAAACCUGGUCGAGCAAAUUCAAGGGAUUGUAUUAUGAACGUCCAAACCUUUUAAAACCUUUUAAAGCCAAGUGGCAGGAGUUGCUUUUGUUGUAGCAAUCUUCUUACUUAUGAGACAUAUAACACUGAUUUUUCUUUAUCAAAAUCCCUUAAGGGGUGCCUUUUACCUCUGCAAAAACCCCAUAAAUAAUCGACUUUUCAACAUAGAAUGUUUUCAUUCAUUCCCUAAAAUCUUGUGGUAUACGCAAAUGAAUCAAGCUUGGUGAGAAAUCCUCAACAUGGGUUUGGUUCUUUUGGGAAGCAUUAGGUGUAGUAAAAUGGUAGUUAUAAAAUUGCCAUCUUGAUAUCCUCACCUUUUAUUCUGUUCACGAGUGGUAUAAAUUUCUUUACUGUGUCUGGCAUUUAAUCUAUGCCCCAUUGUUACUGUCAGUUUUUGAUUGCUAGCAAUGAUUGACUUUGUUCAUAGUUUAGUUCAUCAUAAGAACUUUUGGAUCUUGAUGGUCGUAGUAUGCAUGAUAUUUCCAAUUUUAUAUACAGAAUUGGUACUGAAUUGACCAAAUAUUAUCCUGAAGGUGAAUUUAGCUGUUGAUUGACGAAAAGUUGGAUGCAAGGGGGGUGGGUACUGCGGAUGAUUUCUCAUUCAAAAAUUAUGGAAUUUUAGGAGCAUGUUUAGUUUGUCAAUGAAAAGGGAAAUUAAAAAAGAAAGAAAAAGAAAAAAGAAGGCAACAGUUCUGCUCUGUCUAUUAUAUUCUGUUAUUCUUGUAAUUAUUACUUAUCUGGUCCUAAAUGUGAGAUUCGUUACACUACAAAAUAGGUUUUACAUUUAGGACAAGAGGAGUAUUAUUUAUUAAUUUUUAGUUUUUAAAGCAUAACACCCGUCCAGCAUAUUAUAUGGAGUUUACAAAAUGAGUUAUAUUGUUCUUGUCUUGUCUCAUGAAA